AAAAAAUUUUUAAUAAAAAUAUAUAAUGGGGGUUAAAGUAUUUUUAUAGAAAAAAUUAGUUAAUUUAUAGUGGAAUAGUAUUGUGGAAGAAAUUUUAAAUAAUUGAAAAAUAAAUUUAUUUGAAAGUAAUUUUAAUUUAAUGUAUCUUGUGUAUCAGAGUUUAUUAAAAAGAUUUUUUAGGGAAAAAUUUCUCGAAUUUAAAAGAGAAAAUUAAUUAAUAAAGUUAUUGUUGCAUAAAUAUUUUAAAUAAUUAAUUAGAAAUGAAAUGUUAAUCGUUUUUAAAUAUAUCUAGUUUUUUCAGAAAAAAAUUUAAUUUUAGUUAAAAUAAAAAAUAAUUUAAUUAAUUAAAUUAUUUUUUAUUUUAACUUAUAUUUUAAGGGAUAAGCUUUAAUUUAAAAUUAUAUAAAUAAAUUUAAAUUUAUUGAAAAUUAUAUAAUUUAUAUUGUUAAAAAAUUUUAAUUUAUUAUAAAUAAUUUCAUUAUAAAUAAAAUUUAAAUUAAUUUUAUAUUUUUAUGGGGGAAAAAUAUGAAUUAAAUUAAAUUAGUUAUAAUGGUAAAAUUAGUAUAUUAUUAAUAAGUAAAAAAUAAUAAUUUUUUAUAAUCAAUUAAAAGGAAUUCGGCAAAAUUUUAUAUUCACUUGUUUAUCAAAAACAUGUCUUUUUGAAAUUAAUAUAAAGUCUAAUCUGCCCACUGAUUUUUAAUUGAAGGGCUGCAGUAUUUUGACUGUACAAAGGUAGCAUAAUCAAUAGUCAUUUAAUUGGUGACUUGUAUGAAAGAUUGGAUGAAAUAUAAACUGUCUCUUGAUUGUUAAAUAGAAUUUAAUUUUUUAAUUAAAAAGUUAAAAUGUUUUAAAAAGACGAGAAGACCCUAUAGAGUUUUAUAGUUAAAAUUAUUAAGAUUAUUUUUAAGUUUAAUAAUUAAAAUUAUUUUAAUUAUUUUGUUGGGGUGACAAAAAAAUAUGAAAAACUUUUUUUACAUGUAAAACAUAUAUAAGUGAUUAAGUGAUCCAAUAAUAUUGAUUAUAAGAAAAAAUUACCUUAGGGAUAACAGCGUAAUUUUUUUUUUUAGUUCAAAUAAAAAAAAGAGUUUGCGACCUCGAUGUUGGAUUAAGAUAAAAUUUAAAUGCAGAAGUUUAAAAUUUUUGAUCUGUUCGAUCAUUAAAAUCUUACAUGAUCUGAGUUCAAACCGGUGUAAGCCAGGUUGGUUUCUAUCUUUUAAAAAUUAAAAUAUUUUAGUACGAAAGGAUUAAAUAUUUAAAUUAAAUUUAUAAUAAUGAAUUUUAUUAAAUUAAUUUUAUUGUAAAAUU
Molecule: ribosomal RNA, 1305 nt
Filed under: Acronicta rumicis
Lineage: Eukaryota; Metazoa; Arthropoda; Insecta; Lepidoptera; Noctuidae
Description: 16S ribosomal RNA
Source: RNAcentral